GACGAACGCUGGCGGCGUGCUUAACACAUGCAAGUCGAACGGAAAGGCCCUGCUUGCAGGGUACUCGAGUGGCGAACGGGUGAGUAACACGUGGGUGAUCUGCCCUGCACUUCGGGAUAAGCCUGGGAAACUGGGUCUAAUACCGGAUAGGAGCCAUUUUUAGUGUGAUGGUUGGAAAGUUUUUUCGGUGUAGGAUGAGCUCGCGGCCUAUCAGCUUGUUGGUGGGGUAAUGGCCUACCAAGGCGGCGACGGGUAGCCGGCCUGAGAGGGUGGACGGCCACAUUGGGACUGAGAGACGGCCCAGACUCCUACGGGAGGCAGCAGGGGGGAAUAUUGCACAAUGGGCGCAAGCCUGAUGCAGCGACGCCGCGGGGGGGAGGACGGCCUUCGGGUUGUAAACGCCUUUCGCUAGGGACGAAGCUUUUUGUGACGGUACCUAGAUAAGAAGCACCGGCUAACUACGUG
Molecule: ribosomal RNA, 465 nt
Filed under: uncultured bacterium
Lineage: Bacteria
Description: partial 16S ribosomal RNA
Rfam family: Bacterial small subunit ribosomal RNA
Source: RNAcentral